AGAGUUUGAUCAUGGCUCAGGACGAACGCUGGCGGCGUGCCUAAUACAUGCAAGUCGAGCGGAUCUUCUCCUUCGGGAGAAGGUUAGCGGCGGACGGGUGAGUAACACGUAGGCAACCUGCCCCUAAGAUCGGGAUAACAUUCGGAAACGAAUGCUAAGACCGGAUACACAAGUUGGUCGCAUGACCGGCUUGGGAAACA
Molecule: ribosomal RNA, 200 nt
Filed under: uncultured bacterium
Lineage: Bacteria
Description: partial 16S ribosomal RNA
Rfam family: Bacterial small subunit ribosomal RNA
Source: RNAcentral